CACCAAGGACAGCCAAACAAAUAAUAAGGAGCGGUGCAAGUCACGAAUAUACUACAGCAGACACGCAAGUCAAGAUACAGGAGAUAGUACGAUAAAUAAUAUGAAGCAACAUAAGAGGUUCAAAAAUAGCAAGACAAUAAAGACACCCUCAAAGCACACACUAUAUCUAAAUUUUAAGAACAACAACUACUAGAAAUCCAAAUAA
RNAcentral lists this long non-coding RNA (205 nucleotides) under Capsicum annuum. RNAcentral's name for it is "long non-coding RNA (CANN_LNC013392)". Lineage: Eukaryota; Viridiplantae; Streptophyta; Magnoliopsida; Solanales; Solanaceae. The record is from RNAcentral.